UACGUAGGGCGCAAGCGUUGUCCGGAAUUAUUGGGCGUAAAGAGCUCGUAGGCGGUCUGUCGCGUCGGUUGUGAAAACCCGGGGCUCAACCCCGGGCCUGCAGUCGAUACGGGCAGGCUAGAGUCCGGCAGGGGAGACUGGAAUUCCUGGUGUAGCGGUGAAAUGCGCAGAUAUCAGGAGGAACACCGGUGGCGAAGGCGGGUCUCUGGGCCGGAACUGACGCUGAGGAGCGAAAGCGUGGGGAGCGAACAGG
RNAcentral lists this ribosomal RNA (253 nucleotides) under uncultured bacterium. Its description in RNAcentral is "partial 16S ribosomal RNA". It matches the Rfam family "Bacterial small subunit ribosomal RNA", at positions 524 to 776 of the family's 1533-position model. The record is from RNAcentral.